This 253-nucleotide ribosomal RNA is filed under the name uncultured bacterium. RNAcentral describes it as "partial 16S ribosomal RNA". It matches the Rfam family "Bacterial small subunit ribosomal RNA", at positions 524 to 776 of the family's 1533-position model. The record is from RNAcentral.
UACGGGGGGUGCGAGCGUUGUCCGGAAUCACUGGGCGUAAAGGGCGCGUAGGUGGUUUGAUAAGGGUGUGGUGAAAGUCCGGGGCUCAACCCCGGAUCUGCCGUGCCGACUGUCAAACUCGAGGACCGUAGAGGCAGACGGAAUUCCGGGUGUAGCGGUGGAAUGCGUAGAGAUCCGGAGGAAGACCGGUGGCGAAGGCGGUCUGCUGGGCAGUUUCUGACACUGAGGCGCGACAGCGUGGGGAGCAAGCAGG